Molecule: ribosomal RNA, 441 nt
Filed under: uncultured bacterium
Lineage: Bacteria
Description: bacterial SSU rRNA
Rfam family: Bacterial small subunit ribosomal RNA
Source: RNAcentral
CCUACGGGGGGCUGCAGUGAGGAAUUUUCCACAAUGGGCGCAAGCCUGAUGGAGCAACGCCGCGUGCAGGAUGAAGGUUUUCGGAUUGUAAACUGCUUUUAUGUGCGAAGAAUAUGACGGUAACACAUGAAUAAGGAUCGGCUAACUCCGUGCCAGCAGCCGCGGUCAUACGGAGGAUCCAAGCGUUAUCCGGAUUUACUGGGCGUAAAGAGUUGCGUAGGUGGUUUGUUAAGUGAAUAGUGAAAUCUUGUGGCUCAACCAUAAGGCUAUUAUUCAAACUGGCAAACUCGAGAAUGAGAGAGGUCACUGGAAUUCCUUGUGUAGGAGUGAAAUCCGUAGAUAUAAGGAGGAACACCAAUGGCGUAGGCAGGUGACUGGCUCAUUUCUGACACUGAGGCACGAAAGCGUGGGGAGCGAACGGGAUUAGAUACCCCAGUAGUC